GGAUUAGAUACCCUGGUAGUCCACGCUGUAAACGAUGAGUGCUAGUUGUCGGGGGUAUCGACCCCUCCGGUAACGAAGUAAACGCGUUAAGCACUCCGCCUGGGGAGUACGGUCGCAAGAUUAAAACUCAAAGGAAUUGACGGGGGCCCGCACAAGCGGUGGAGCAUGUGGUUUAAUUCGAUGCAACGCGAAGAACCUUACCUGCCUUUGACAUCCUGAGAAUCCUAUAGAGAUAUAGGAGUGCUUUUCGGAGAACUUGGAGACAGGUGCUGCAUGGCUGUCGUCAGCUCGUGCCG
This 296-nucleotide ribosomal RNA is filed under the name uncultured bacterium. RNAcentral describes it as "partial 16S ribosomal RNA". It matches the Rfam family "Bacterial small subunit ribosomal RNA", at positions 775 to 1067 of the family's 1533-position model. The record is from RNAcentral.